GAAGAGGAGACUGUGCAAGCAGGAAGCAGAUCCUGCAACAAGGGUGUUGGGCUCUGCCUUGCCUCCCAACGGUUCAUCAGAAUCACGGGACGAGGAGGAUGAUGAGUUCGUCCCUGAGAAUGUGACCUUCGCUCCUAAAGACGUGACCC
Long non-coding RNA from Coregonus clupeaformis (lake whitefish), 149 nucleotides. RefSeq lists it as uncharacterized. The record is from RefSeq and is a predicted model, not a curated record. The transcript has 3 exons. NCBI's taxonomy places the organism in Eukaryota, Metazoa, Chordata, Actinopteri, Salmoniformes, Salmonidae.